GUGGUGGCGCAACGGUAGCGCAGUGGACUCCAGACAUAAUUUAUCCAAAGGUUAUCGGUUCAAAUCCGGUUCAU
Molecule: transfer RNA, 74 nt
Filed under: Hanusia phi
Lineage: Eukaryota; Cryptophyceae; Pyrenomonadales; Geminigeraceae
Rfam family: tRNA
About the family: Transfer RNA (tRNA) molecules are approximately 80 nucleotides in length. Their secondary structure includes four short double-helical elements and three loops (D, anti-codon, and T loops).
Source: RNAcentral